GAUGAACGCUGGCGGCGUGCCUAAUACAUGCAAGUCGAGCGAACAGAUAAGGAGCUUGCUCCUUUGACGUUAGCGGCGGACGGGUGAGUAACACGUGGAUAACCUACCUAUAAGACUGGGAUAACUUCGGGAAACCGGAGCUAAUACCGGAUAACAUAUUGAACCGCAUGGUUCAAUAGUGAAAGGCGGCUUUGCUGUCACUUAUAGAUGGAUCCGCGCCGUAUUAGCUAGUUGGUAAGGUAACGGCUUACCAAGGCAACGAUACGUAGCCGACCUGAGAGGGUGAUCGGCCACACUGGAACUGAGACACGGUCCAGACUCCUACGGGAGGCAGCAGUAGGGAAUCUUCCGCAAUGGGCGAAAGCCUGACGGAGCAACGCCGCGUGAGUGAUGAAGGUCUUCGGAUCGUAAAACUCUGUUAUCAGGGAAGAACAAAUGUGUAAGUAACUGUGCACAUCUUGACGGUACCUGAUCAGAAAGCCACGGCUGACUACGUG
Molecule: ribosomal RNA, 497 nt
Filed under: uncultured bacterium
Lineage: Bacteria
Description: partial 16S ribosomal RNA
Rfam family: Bacterial small subunit ribosomal RNA
Source: RNAcentral